This 477-nucleotide ribosomal RNA is filed under the name uncultured bacterium. RNAcentral describes it as "bacterial SSU rRNA". It matches the Rfam family "Bacterial small subunit ribosomal RNA", at positions 328 to 793 of the family's 1533-position model. The record is from RNAcentral.
UCAGUCGACUCCUACGGGGAGGCAGCAGUGGGGAAUAUUGCACAAUGGGGGAAACCCUGAUGCAGCCAUGCCGCGUGUGUGAAGAAGGCCUUCGGGUUGUAAAGCACUUUCAGUAGGGAGGAAGGUAGUGUAGUUAACACCUGCAUUAUUUGACGUUACCUACAGAAGAAGCACCGGCUAACUCCGUGCCAGCAGCCGCGGUAAUACGGAGGGUGCGAGCGUUAAUCGGAAUUACUGGGCGUAAAGCGCAUGCAGGCGGCCUGUUAAGUCAGAUGUGAAAGCCCGGGGCUUAACCUCGGAAUUGCAUUUGAAACUGGCAGGCUAGAGUCUUGUAGAGGGGGGUAGGAAUUUCAGGUGUAGCGGUGAAAUAGCGUAGAGAUCUGAAGGAAUACCAGUGGCGAAGGCGGCCCCCUGGACAAAGACUGACGCUCAGAUGCGAAAGCGUGGGGAGCAAACAGGAUUAGAUACCCCUGGUAG